ACAAGUAGAGUGGCGCACGGGUGAGUAACACGUAGGUAAUCUACCUUCGGAUGGGGAAUAACAAUCGGAAACGAUUGCUAAUACCGCAUAAUGCAGCGGCACCUAAUGGUGACAGUUGUUAGAGCGGGGGAUCGAAAGACCUCGCGUCUGAAGAGGAGCCUGCGGCGGAUUAGCUAGUUGGUAAGGUAAUGGCUUACCAAGGCAACGAUCCGUAACCGGCCUGAGAGGGCGGUCGGUCACACUGACACUGACAUACGGGUCAGACUCCUACGGGAGGCAGCAGUCGGGAAUUUUGGGCAAUGGGCGAAAGCCUGACCCAGCAACGCCGCGUGAAGGAUGAAAUCCCUCGGGAUGUAAACUUCGCAAGAACGGGAAGAAUAAGUAGGGGACAAUACCCCCUAUGAUGACGGUACCGUUUGUAAGCUCCGGCUAACUCCGUGCCAGCAGCCGCGGUAAUACGGGGGGAGCAAGCGUUGUUCGGAUUUACUGGGCGUAAAGGGCGCGUAGGCGGCCAGCACAAGUCAGUUGUGAAAUCUCCGAGCUUAACUCGGAAAGGUCAACUGAUACUGUGCGGCUAGAGUGCGGAAGGGGCAACUGGAAUUCUUGGUGUAGCGGUGAAAUGCGUAGAUAUCAAGAGGAACACCUGCGGCGAAAGCGGGUUGCU
RNAcentral lists this ribosomal RNA (664 nucleotides) under uncultured bacterium. RNAcentral describes it as "bacterial SSU rRNA". It matches the Rfam family "Bacterial small subunit ribosomal RNA", at positions 86 to 730 of the family's 1533-position model. The record is from RNAcentral.